CACGGGGGGAGCAAGCGUUGUUCGGAAUCACUGGGCGUAAAGGGCGUGUAGGCGGUCAGGUAAGUGAGAUGUGAAAUGCCCCGGCUCACCCGGGGACCGGCAUCUCAUACUGCUUGGCUUGAGUACGGGAGAGGAUGUGGGAAUUCCUGGUGUAGCGGUGAAAUGCGCAGAUAUCAGGAGGAACACCCGUAGCGAAGGCGGCACUCUGGGCCGAUACUGACGCUGAGGAGCUAAAGCGUGGGGAGCGAACAGG
RNAcentral lists this ribosomal RNA (253 nucleotides) under uncultured bacterium. RNAcentral describes it as "partial 16S ribosomal RNA". It matches the Rfam family "Bacterial small subunit ribosomal RNA", at positions 524 to 776 of the family's 1533-position model. The record is from RNAcentral.